This 465-nucleotide ribosomal RNA is filed under the name uncultured Klebsiella sp. RNAcentral's name for it is "bacterial SSU rRNA". It matches the Rfam family "Bacterial small subunit ribosomal RNA", at positions 338 to 795 of the family's 1533-position model. Lineage: Bacteria; Pseudomonadati; Pseudomonadota; Gammaproteobacteria; Enterobacterales; Enterobacteriaceae. The record is from RNAcentral.
CCUACGGGCGGCAGCAGUGGGGAAUAUUGCACAAUGGGCGCAAGCCUGAUGCAGCCAUGCCGCGUGUGUGAAGAAGGCCUUCGGGUUGUAAAGCACUUUCAGCGGGGAGGAAGGCGGUGAGGUUAAUAACCUCAUCGAUUGACGUUACCCGCAGAAGAAGCACCGGCUAACUCCGUGCCAGCAGCCGCGGUAAUACGGAGGGUGCAAGCGUUAAUCGGAAUUACUGGGCGUAAAGCGCACGCAGGCGGUCUGUCAAGUCGGAUGUGAAAUCCCCAGGCUCAACCUGGGCACUGCAUUCGAAACUGGCAGGCUAGAGUCUUGUAGAGGGGGGUAGAAUUCCAGGUGUAGCGGUGAAAUGCGUAGAGAUCUGGAGGAAUACCGGUGGCGAAGGCGGCCCCCUGGACAAAGACUGACGCUCAGGUGCGAAAGCGUGGGGAGCAAACAGGAUUAGAUACCCUUGUAGUC